UACAAAGGGGGCAAGCGUUGUUCGGAAUUACUGGGCGUAAAGGGCGCGUAGGUGGCCUUCUAAGUUGAACGUGAAAUCCCUGGGCUCAACCCAGGAACUGCGUCCAAGACUGGGAGGCUUGAAUCCGGGAGAGGGAUGCGGAAUUCCAGGUGUAGCGGUGAAAUGCGUAGAUAUCUGGAGGAACACCGGUGGCGAAGGCGGCAUCCUGGACCGGUAUUGACACUGAGGCGCGAAAGCGUGGGGAGCAAACGGG
This 253-nucleotide ribosomal RNA is filed under the name uncultured bacterium. RNAcentral describes it as "partial 16S ribosomal RNA". It matches the Rfam family "Bacterial small subunit ribosomal RNA", at positions 524 to 776 of the family's 1533-position model. The record is from RNAcentral.